Molecule: ribosomal RNA, 699 nt
Filed under: uncultured archaeon
Lineage: Archaea
Description: bacterial SSU rRNA
Rfam family: Archaeal small subunit ribosomal RNA
Source: RNAcentral
GGACAACCUGCCCUCGGGAGGGGGAUAACCCAGGGAAACUGGGGCUAAACCCCCAUAGGUGAUGGAUACUGGAAUGUUCCAUCACCGAAAGUCCGCAAGGAGCCCGAGGAUGGGUCUGCGGCGGAUUAGGUAGUUGGUGGGGUAACGGCCCACCAAGCCUAAGAUCCGUACGGGCCAUGGGAGUGGGAGCCCGGAGAUGGACCCUGAGACAAGGGUCCAGGCCCUACGGGGCGCAGCAGGCGCGAAACCUCCGCAAUGCGGGAAACCGCGACGGGGUCAGCCGGAGUGCCGAUGCUUGCAUCGGCUGUCGGGGAGCCUAAAAAGCUCCCCAUAGCAAGGGCCGGGCAAGGCCGGUGGCAGCCGCCGCGGUAAUACCGGCGGCCCGAGUGGCGGCCACUAUUAUUGGGCUUAAAGCGUCCGUAGCCGGGUUGGUUAGUCUCCCGGGAAAUCUGGCCGCUUAACGGUCAGAAUUCCGGGAGAUACUGCCAGCCUAGGGACCGGGAGAGGCCGAGGGUAUUCCCGGAGUAGGGGUGAAAUCCUAUAAUCCCGGGAGGACCACCUGUGGCGAAGGCGCUCGGCUGGAACGGGUCCGACGGUGAGGGACGAAGGCCAGGGGAGCAAACCGGAUUAGAUACCCGGGUAGUCCUGGCUGUAAACGAUGCGGACUUUGUGUCGGACAAGCUAUGAGCUUGUCCGGUG